CUCCCUCCCUCCAACCUGAGGAGGAACCCACUUGGAUUCCCAGAGCCCAGCCAAGCUUCCCAAAGCAGGCAGUCCUUUGCCAGGCUGCAGGAGCCAAGCCCGCCGCGGCGCAGGACUCUCUGCCUCCCUCCUGGGCUCAUUCCUCGGGAAACGGGGGUCAGGAAAGACCCCAAAAGAGCGGGCUUGGAGGCGAAACCCGCAAGAGGAAUCGGAAUAACUGGAACAGCAGCCCGCAAGGCAACAAGGAUGGGGCGCAGUUGUGCCGACCUUCCGAAGAUGGGGAAAAGGAGCCAAAGGGGCGACUGAUGCUGCUCCGGGGCUUUGCCAAUAGCGAGAGGAAGAGGAGGAGGAGGAGGAGGAAGAGGAGGAGGGAGGAAGAGCUCGGGCGAAGGAAGCCGAGCAGAGGCGCAGAGAGAGUGCCAAGGAUCGGCUGGGAGAGGAAGGAGAGGAAGGAGCACUGAAAAGCCGCCAAGGUGGGAAGAGAGGCGGACGCAGACCCAGCCAUGGUGCCUCUCCAGUUCGGGCGCUCCUAGCAAGGAUGAGAAAGGCGGCUGGGCUCGCUUUCCCCGAACCGGGAUCCACGCGAAGCUUCCCCGGGAUCCACGCGCAGGGUUGGCUCCGGAAGGCUGCCUCCUCCCGGGGUUAGAGGAUCCCUUUCUCUCCCUCUCCCUCUCUCUCUCCACUGGAUCGCCUCCAGCGCCUUCUCAUCCUUUUUGCACCGACUCUUCCUCCCUCUUCUGCUGCUCCAGCCGCUCCAGAAAAGUCCCAAGGCUUCCAGGACCAGCACUAGAAGCUGCCAGGCAAAGUCAUCCCUUCUUCGCUAAUCUAGUUAUGGAAGCAACCAUCUGCUGUCUGGGGUGGAUCAUGACUCCCUGCUGCCAUCCACUGCCAAUGGAUUUCUCCUCUGGAACGGUCUCCUCUUAUCAAAAUAAUUGCCGGGAUUCUCAUAUUUUGUUUCCUAUCCAAGCUGGGUUUCUUCAAAGGCAGAUCAAUAUGUUCCACCUGGCCAUUCACAAUGUUCACUAGCACAUCAGCUACUGCACAUCUAGAUUGAAACAAGAACGUAAUAACACCUCCCUGCAUUUCUAAAUAUUACUUCUAGAUGAUUCAGUCAGGAAUCUCAUUGGUCUCAGAUCUUUUGCUGUAUAGCUAUUUAUUUUCCAGUUUAAUAAUACAGUGUGGUUUUAAUGUUGGACUUAGGGCCCUUCCACACAACCAUAUAACUCAAAAUAUCAAGGCAGAUGAUCCACAAUAUCUGCUUUGAACUGGGUUAUCUGAGUCCACAUUGCCAUAUAAUUGUUGUAGUUCAGCCUUUGAUUGCGCCUCACUGGGGAUUCUGGGCCUGGGCCUGUUAGGCAGCCUGAUAAUGAUAAUGGGGAUUCUGGGCCUGCAGAUCACCAGGAGAAUCGGGAUUUUAAGCCUCUGUCCGAGGGAGGCCACAUUCCAGAAAGGAAGUUCCCUAGAGUGCAAGGUCAGAGACAGAACUGAUCUCAGAGGAGAAAAAUAUAAGUCCAGGUAGCUGGACUAAUGAGCAGCAGUUAGAUAGGAGAUUGAUGUUUCGUCAACAUAGUGCUUCUCAGGAGUACGAAGGUUUAGCCACUUAUCAGCCAAGAAGCUCUUAUCAGCUUUUGAAGGGAAACGGCAGGGCACAGUUUUCUGUCUAUAUUACAGACACCAGCAGAUCAUUCCCUCAGUCCAGGCAACAUUGGUGUUAGAGCACAGAACUUCUGCCAAGUCAAAUCCCCCAAGGGAUUUCUAGUUCCAGGUUUCCUUAUGUUCAUGUUUCAUGUUUCAAGUUUCUAAGGACUUUCCCUGUAUUGCAUGUUUUUGGAUGUAUCCUGCUUUUGUAUUCCUAGUUUUUGAUGCAUAUCACGUACUUUGAACUCUGAGGAUUAUUCCUGUUUUUUGGACAUUGAUUUUUACACUAUUUUGCUGAGUUGCUUUUUAUAUAUAUUUUUCAAUAAACUGCUUUGCUAUUUUACCUUGGACUGGAUUGUGUGUUAAGUACAGAGAUGUAUCCCAUCUCGGGGUGCAACAAUAAUCCAGUUCAAUGUGGAUUUUAUACUGCUGUGUGGAAGGGGUCAUAGAUUCCAAGUGAUGACCGAGACCCCGGCUUUCAAAUUAAUUUGAACCCGCAGCGGAGAGUUCCGCAGAUCCAUCACCAAAAGGAACGGAGCGGGACCGCAGCAGACUAUUAUUAAAAGAUCUUUUUUCCUUCACUUUCCCCUUCCCUGAACUAUGUAACAAAUCCCCCAAUAAAAGUAGCAUUUAUUUUAACAGUAACACUCUCUAUCUGGUUAUUUUGUGUCUUUCUCUGACUCCUUCCUUUGCAUGCAAUUUCUCCCUCUCUCUCUCUCACUAACCCGUCUGAUCUUUAAACCCUGGCGGAGGCUUCCCCGCCAUAGGUUAAUACAGCGGACGAUACAAAUUGGCUCAUAUCUUUAUCAAAAUUACCCCUAGCACGCUCUUCUUUUAGUCCUAAUCCUUUCUAAGGCUCCUGACUCAAGGACCACCAGCGGAACCAAAAUCGGUCCAGUUCUCGGCACCUCAUCAGCUGACUGUCAAACGGAACCGACUGCUCCUUUCAAGCCAGACUGCUCUCUUCCAGCCUUAUCCCGGACUUUCCUCUCUCCGCGACCCGCGGGAUGGUUUUAGGAGAUCCCUGGUCCCUUUCUGUGAACUGGGGAUGGGGGGAUCGCUCUCCCGCUGGGGAGACAUAGUUCUCCAAGGACCUUCGCCCUCUCUACAGCCUGCCAGGAGGGUGCCUGGACGGGCGCCCUCCACUUUUCAUUCAUACCUUCAUAAUUUUAUGAAGGAGAAGAACACUCUUCCCCAGACCUAUCCCUGGACUUAUGAAAUCUUAUACUUCCAAAGACUGCAACCCACAUGUGCCCCUUCCCCAUGCCAUCUCUAUGAAUUCCUUCCACCACAGAUGAACUCUUUUCCUCAUGUAUCCGUGAAUUUUCAUAUUCUAUGUACCUGGACACCCUCAUGAAUCACUGUUGUAUGAAUUUCUAAUCGUUGGGCUAACUUCAUGAAUUGUGAGAUCAUGCUGCUAAAACUCCACUUUUAUGAAUUUCCAUAUUGGGUUCCCCAGAUGUUGUGAACUUCGUUCUUAUCAAAUGUUUUCAAAUUGUUUAUAUCAUUCAUGAUUCCCCUUCAUGCAAUGUAACCCACCUCUAUGGAUUCUCCCUUACUUCCUUGAAAUCUAUCUAUCUGCCUAUAUGUAUUUGUACUCUUUGGGAUCCCCGGAAAAUAUGUAUUUUUCCCAGCUGGGUUUAUAUUCCAACUUUAUUUUAUUUUUCAUUUUAUUUCAUAUAAUUGCCAAGUCAUGAAAUCAGAUAGGGAAUAUUUCGAACUCAACUUGAACCCCAGGACCUGCCCCAUUUUCUAUGACCCAGGCUUACCUUCCCAAAAACAAAAGGUUAAUCUGCUGCCGCUUAACCUAAUCAGAUUCAGAUUGCAUGGACAAUAUAGGGCUUGAGUCGCCGAAUUCGGAGUAUUUUGACCUAAAGGUGAUUCGCCCUCAAGGCAAACAUUGUCAUAUCUCCUCCAAAGGAAAUCCAGGACACCUCAGGAAGGCGCCCUGCUGAGCCCAUCGCCACCCAUCCUUACUUCCACCUCUGACACCCCAAGGCAUAUCUGAAAUCCGUGUACGUGACAGGAACCCUUGAUUGCUGUCAUUAAUCCCUUUAGAAUUCGGCCGGGCAGGAAUUAAUCCGAUCCUUCCUGCUCAGUCACUUCAUUGUUUCAAUAACUCCCGCCUUCUCCUCUCUGAUUGGCCCGAGUGGGGACAAAAAGCAGCUCCCUAUUGGGCCAGCAGAGCAAGGCGGGAAACGAAAGCCCGCCUCGUUCAACACUCUAGCCUAUCCGCGAUCAGAUGGGCGGGGGAGCGGGGCGGGAAAUUCAAGGGGCUGUCAGACUGAAACAUUGUAUAAAUAUGGCUUUAUUUUGGUUAUAUGGUACCCUAGUAGAUUGAAUGAUCACUACUAGAGUCCUUUUCAGCUGAAUCGCUCAAUAAAGACUCCUUGGCGGAUUUUCCUUCAACUUUGGUGGACCUUCUUCAUUUCGGCUUCAGGUUGUAUUGCGGCUCAUAUUUUCCUAUCGGCUCCGCCAAGGUCCGUUCUCUCAGGACCGGAUCGGGACUCUCCUUAAGGGCCCGAUCCCCUAAAGGACCAGGGUUCAAAUCUCUCGACAACACAAGGACCAGGGUUCAAAUCUCUGCUCAGCCAUGUGAACUCACUGGGCUAUUCUGGGCAAGUCAAAAUCUCUCAAGGUGUAUCUAUAUUGUAGAAUUAAUGCAGUUUGACCCCACUUUAACUAUCCUGGUGCAAUGCUAUGGAAUUAUGUAGUUUUAUAAGACCUUUAAUCAUCUCUGCCAAAGAGUGUUGGUGCCUUUCCAAACUAAAAAAACCUGGAUUCUAUAGUAUAGAGCCAGAACAGCUAAAGUGGGAUCAAACUGCAUUAAUUGUACAGUCUCAACCUUGGGGAAGCCAAUGGCAAACCCACUCUGAACAAAUCUUGCCAAGAAAACCCUCUGAUAGGGUGGCCUUAGGGCCUCCAUAAGUCAGAAACAACAUGCAGGCACACAACCCAUACCUUAAUUCUUGGAAAUCCUCAAAGAAACAUAACUGCGGUACUAGUUUGGCAACUUUAGGCAUACAAGAUCUUUCUCCACCUUCCCUCAUGCUAUUUUAUGACCACCGAUGAUAGUUUCAAGUUUCUAGCCCUCAAGCAAGGGAGCCAAAGUUGUACAUAGUAGCCUGAAAGGCCAUCAUCAAAGUAUGUCUUAUAAUUCUUGUUAGCUGCCUAGAAGAAAGGUGAGAUAAAAAUAAAUAAACACAUCAAUAAAUAACUAUAAACGUUUUUCUCACAGUUGUCUUGGCAUCCCAGAUUUGGGGCCGCAGCACUCCUUCGCUUUCUGACUCCUGCAUCAUCUAGAAAAGCAGGAGGCCCCACGUGACUGGCGGAGGCCAACACAAGCUGCACUGUGCACACAGCCAGCUUCCUAUGCUCACUGCUUGACAUUUAAUUAGCUUUAAAUGAGAAGAGGCUGCCACAGGGCUAACUGGCGUUUUCGUUAACUCAAGCUCAUUUAUUAGGAAAUGUGCAAUUUUAAAAAUGCCAUCUCUCCGCUUUUUAUUGGCCUGGCUUGGACCACAGAUGGACCGCAAAUUCUGGAGGACCCUCCUGCUGCUCCAAAGAGACGGUAAAUCAACCUCUGCCGCUAAGCAGGAGCUGUCCUUUGAGAACCCUGUGUACUUGGCCUAAUGCAACCAGCUCCUCCGAAAGAAGUGCCCUGUAAUCUCUUUUGAGCAACUGUCCCCCAAACAGCUGGCCUGAAGCCAAGCUGUCUGGAUUUAGUCCUUUCUAUAGAGAUGGAAAUAUACUCCCUGUUACUCAAGACAGCCGUUAAGUCAUCAUGUUGGCACCUUUGCUAUCAGGGCUGUUAAUUCCCUUUUCAACAAAAUUACUUUUCUUUUUUUUAAAGCAAACCCAGAAAGGGAACUGGGCCAAAAGCUGAAAAUGGAAAUCUAAAAUGCAUUUUUCCUGCCUGGCUUUUUGAAAGCCAGAGGCUAAUUUUUCCAGGUGAGAACUGACAAAAGCUUGGCAAAGCUACCCUUUGGAUUACAGCUCCCAGAAUCCUCCCAGUCAGCAGGAGUACGCACAAACUGGGAGAGGCUGGGUAUAAUUGCACAAUAAAUCACGCACAUGUACUCUGGAGAUCAUUCACUCGCCAAUGUUUGAAGCCAAGCUGUGACAGAGACUGCGCAUUGGCAUGCUUCAAUGUAUGCACAUUGAAAAUUGCCUUCUGGAGCACAAGAUGAUACCAUAUAUUGUCAGGCUCUUCCAUAUAUUGUCAUGGUGAGCUCAGUGUGGACUAUGUCAUUCUUCCCCAAACGGAUACCCUCCAAAUGUUUUGGACUAUAUCAUGGCCCUGAUAGCAUGCUAGCAAUGUUUCGGCAUAAACCGUGUCAGAUCAUCAAUGGCUGAAAUGGGUGCAACUGCCCCAGGC
Molecule: long non-coding RNA, 6016 nt
Organism: Anolis carolinensis (green anole)
Lineage: Eukaryota; Metazoa; Chordata; Lepidosauria; Squamata; Anolidae
Source: Ensembl